UGUACCUGGUGGCGAGCGGCGGACGGGCUGAGUAAUGCCUAGGAAUCUGCCUGGUAGUGGGGGAUAACGCUCGGAAACGGACGCUAAUACCGCAUACGUCCUACGGGAGAAAGCAGGGGACCUUCGGGCCUUGCGCUAUCAGAUGAGCCUAGGUCGGAUUAGCUAGUUGGUGAGGUAAUGGCUCACCAAGGCGACGAUCCGUAACUGGUCUGAGAGGAUGAUCAGUCACACUGGAACUGAGACACGGUCCAGACUCCUACGGGAGGCAGCAGUGGGGAAUAUUGGACAAUGGGCGAAAGCCUGAUCCAGCCAUGCCGCGUGUGUGAAGAAGGUCUUCGGAUUGUAAAGCACUUUAAGUUGGGAGGAAGGGCAUUUACCUAAUACGUAAGUGUUUUGACGUUACCGACAGAAUAAGCACCGGCUAACUCUGUG
Molecule: ribosomal RNA, 432 nt
Filed under: Pseudomonas sp. Air154
Lineage: Bacteria; Pseudomonadati; Pseudomonadota; Gammaproteobacteria; Pseudomonadales; Pseudomonadaceae
Description: bacterial SSU rRNA
Rfam family: Bacterial small subunit ribosomal RNA
Source: RNAcentral